RNAcentral lists this ribosomal RNA (2775 nucleotides) under Triticum aestivum (bread wheat). Its description in RNAcentral is "partial small subunit ribosomal RNA". The stretch from base 1867 to 1981 matches the Rfam family "MIR1120/MIR1122 microRNA precursor family". The record is from RNAcentral. Lineage: Eukaryota; Viridiplantae; Streptophyta; Magnoliopsida; Poales; Poaceae.
AAAGACUUUAAGUGCUAACUCAUUAAAUAAAGUGUGCUUAGCAACAACAAGUUAAGCACCUAUGCAUUGAAGACUUGAGUUGCUAAGGUAUUUAAUGCACUUAGCACCUCAUCUAAGCACCUCUGCAUUGGGAGAGGUCUAAGUACUCUCACACCCGGCACACACGCGCUUACAGCUGUCACCCACGCACCCACUACACUUGGCUGGCCAACUUGCCGUCACGCGGUAGUGCCUGCACUGCCGUGGUGACAGUGCCAGAUCCGGCCCGGGAGCCGCCGUAGAGCCUCCAUCUAGCACAGGAGCAGCAGCAUCCACCGGCCACACAGCUCGCCUCGCCGCACCGCAAAACAUCGAGGGCAGGGGCACCUAGCAGAGGAGCGCGCGGCAAGCUCGUCACCAUCAAAGCCCCGGCCCCUUUCUCGCCGGGCCAUGGCGGCGGCGGUCGACGGCACCCGCAAGCACGGGGCGGCGGCCUUCCUGGACGACCCCUUUGAGGUGCUGCAGGCGAAGCGGGGCCGGUGCUCGCCGUCCGCCGCCACGGCCGCGGUCGCCGACCUCGGCAUCAACAUGGAGUUCGACCCCGUCGAGGCGCUCCAGUCCGUAUUCCCCGGCGCCGAUCCGCAGAUGUACCCGGAGGUGAAGGGGAAAUUUGCGGCAGCCAAAAAAUAUUUAAUAAGUUAUUACUGAUUUGGUCUGGAAUGAAGAGAACAACGGGGAAGGAGUAAUUGGUAUAUUGGGGUUUCAGAGUGUAUUGCUAAAGCUAUUCUGGUGGGGAAACUGACCGGAAUUAGUGAAAAGUUUUGUCAGGGAUAAUACGACUGACCCAACUGGUACCGGUGCCAUGCUUUUGGGGUCGACCAAAACAUUUAAAAAUGUUAAAUGUGGUUAUGUGAUAAAAUCAAGUAUGAAUGAGGAAGAGAUCAACACCAGCCGCGGCAACAAAGAUGACAGCGUGUCUCAGUGGGCAUGAGCAAUGGCACACUCGUGUCGAGUACCUACCAAGAUGCUUCCCUGGUCAGACUUCGAGCACUUCCUCCUUGCCGACGCCGCCUUGGCUAUUGUUGUUGUCUCCUCGGAUAAGCCGUAUUAGGUUGGUUCCAUUGCACUGCAAAUACUACCACUUCUAUUGGGCAACUAAAUACAACUUGCAAGCACGGGAAAACAUGUACACCAGUGUUGUCGGGCGCGCGGAAGCCAAUUCCUUGGGUCACCCAUUGUUCAUCUGCUGCUCUAACCAGUAAUCAUGCCUUGCUCCCAGUAAAUUUGAGCUCGCAGCCAUUUAGGUAGCUUCUUGUCAUGCUCACAUCUAGCAGCAAGAAAAAUGAGAAGCUGCUGACCAGAGUGUAAUGUCUUAGUGGUAGGGAGACCACCAAGAUAUGAUGCUCUAAUGCAAAAUAUUAUAGGAAUAUCUACUUACUUUAACCACUUUUCAUAUUUGGUAUUUAAUCCAUCUACAUGUACAAACACGAAAUGCAGAUAUUGUUUUGUUGUGGAGAAAUUUUAUGAUGUGCCCAAUUAUGGACCGUACAUUGAUAAUGAUCUAAUGGUUAGGAUGAUGCAUCAUUUGAUAAUUCAAGAAAAGGUCAUGUCUUUACAGAAAUGUUCAAUUCCCCCUCAGUUUGAACUUGUAAGGUGUACUAAUUUUUUAAGAAUUCAAACUUACCUAAUUUUGACCAAGUUUAUAGAAUAAAACAUAAAUAUCUACUAUAGAGAAACAAUAUCAUUAGAUUCAUGAUGAAGUAUAUUUCCAUAUUUGAUUUAUUUAGGGGCUGUUCGAAAAGCCUCCACGCCCUCGCCACGGAGCGGAGGCCAAUCCGCUCCGGAGCGGAGCUGCGGAGUGGGAGUGAGUCCGAACAAGCCUUUAGUAUUGUACUCCCUCCGUUAGGAAUUACUCGUCCAAGAAAUGAAUGUGUCUAGAUGUAUUUUAGUUGUAGAUACAUCCAUUUUUAUGACAAGUAAUUCUGAACGGAGGGAGUAGGUGUUAGAUGUAUUUUGCUACAGAUUUGAUCAAACAUAGGAGACUUUGACUUUUGAAUAUUUAAUUCACCUUAUAUUUUGACAGACAUGGAGUAGUAAUUGCUGGGACCAGAUCCAUGCACCAUCAUCUGAAACCCAUGUAUUCAUGAGGUGUGAUGUUAAUUUUAACAAAUCUUCCCAUGGACAGAACCUCGAUACCAUGAUUCACAUACCAACCCACAUAGAAUUUGUGUAGACUGACAUAUACGCCGGGUUCAUCUUGUGGUAUGUCCCAGAACUUUUCUGAUAACAAUGCUCUUAGUUGGGAUGCCAUCAGGCUCCAAACCAAACCUGGGAGCACUUUACUUACCAAUAAAUUAAGAUAACUUUUGCAUAAGGUUUUGUCGUAGUUCGUUACCAAGAUGGGUAGUACUGUAUAGUUUCCUAGCAGCAACAUUUGGCCAGUUUCUUAGAUUUUAUCUGCAUGAAUAGUAGAUUUGCUCAUUUUGAUUUAUAACAUUGUAAAUGUUCACCUCAGCUGCCAGACUAACAUAAUGGAACAUCGUCAGGUGUAUUUGAAGGUUGCCAGUUCAGGUGGGCCAAACAGCCAGUGCGCUGAGGUCAAAAUAAGCAUGACACCGGUUUUAUUCUUUUAGGGGUCACCUACAUGGUGAAAGAUGCUCGGGCACACAUCAUUGUUGGGUUUUCCCAUGUCAUGUCAUACUUGGUCUGUAACUAAAUCUUGAGAAUUCAUUUGUAUGACUUGAUGUACAAACGUGUUAUUCAUAAUGAAAAUAAUAUCAUUGUAUGUGCUUAAAA